UGCAAAUUUUAUGAGGCCUGAACUGCCCUUCUCUCCUUAGUGCCUUCACACACAUUCAUGCAGCAGGUGAUUCCGAGCACCUUUUGGGUUUGUGGGCUGGGGAAAUGAAAAUGUAAAAGAAUGAUUUCUACCAGUCUGAGGUAAAAGGAGCUUCUCAAUUAUGAAGUGCCUUCAUAGCAGUCAUUUUUUUAGGAGACAGAGCAAAGUUUCCUCUCCCCUCACUACUGAUACACCUGCUGUUCCUCAUUUCAGCUGAUCACGUUAACAGACAUCUCACUGCUUGCAAGAAAGCAGCUAUAAUCCAGAAGAGGAGUGAGUUUUGCUUUGGCAUAACAGUAUUGAGUCCAAAGUGCAGAAUUCUGGUACACAGCUACAUGUAAAUUACUGUGAUCGCUGCAUCGCAUAUCACGCCUGGAUUCCCUACUUCCCCAGUCAUCUCUGAUCACAGAAUGGCCUGAAUUGGAAGAAUCAUGAAGCUCCAACCCCCCUGCCAUAUGCAGGGCCACCAAUCU
Centrocercus urophasianus (Greater sage-grouse) is the source of this 512-nucleotide long non-coding RNA. RefSeq lists it as uncharacterized. The transcript has 3 exons. Lineage: Eukaryota; Metazoa; Chordata; Aves; Galliformes; Phasianidae. The record is from RefSeq and is a predicted model, not a curated record.